This 84-nucleotide non-coding RNA is filed under the name Bacillus sp. 5mfcol3.1. The record is from RNAcentral. Lineage: Bacteria; Bacillati; Bacillota; Bacilli; Caryophanales; Bacillaceae.
GAACGCCGUAUGAUGGGAAACUGUCACGUACGGUGUGAGGCGGGGGAAAAGUUGGAGAUAAUAUCAAAUCCUUACCUAUCGCAC